RNAcentral lists this ribosomal RNA (460 nucleotides) under uncultured Bacteroidales bacterium. RNAcentral describes it as "bacterial SSU rRNA". It matches the Rfam family "Bacterial small subunit ribosomal RNA", at positions 338 to 795 of the family's 1533-position model. Lineage: Bacteria; Pseudomonadati; Bacteroidota; Bacteroidia; Bacteroidales. The record is from RNAcentral.
CCUACGGGGGGCAGCAGUGAGGAAUAUUGGGCAAUGGGCGCAAGCCUGACCCAGCCAUGCCGCGUGAAGGAUGAAUGCCCUAUGGGUUGUAAACUUCUUUUGUACGGGACGAAACUUCCGGUCGUGACCGGGAUUGACUGUACCGUACGAAUAAGCAUCGGCUAACUCCGUGCCAGCAGCCGCGGUAAUACGGAGGAUGCAAGCGUUAUCCGGAUUCAUUGGGUUUAAAGGGUGCGUAGGCGGAAUAAUAAGUCAGUGGUGAAAGCCUGCGGCUUAACCGUAGAAUUGCCAUUGAUACUGUUGUUCUUGAGUAUAGUUGAGGUGGGCGGAAUGUGUAAUGUAGCGGUGAAAUGCUUAGAUAUUACACAGAACACCAAUUGCGAAGGCAGCUCACUAAGCUGUUACUGACGCUGAGGCACGAAAGCGUGGGGAGCAAACAGGAUUAGAUACCCCAGUAGUC